UACGUAGGGGGCAAGCGUUGUCCGGAUUCAUUGGGCGUAAAGAGCGUGUAGGCGGCCUGGUAAGUCCGCUGUGAAAGUUCAGGGCUCAACCCUGGAAUGCCAGUGGAAACUGUCAGGCUAGAGUCCGGAAGAGGCGAGUGGAAUUCCUGGUGUAGCGGUGAAAUGCGCAGAUAUCAGGAGGAACACCAGUGGCGAAGGCGACUCCCUGGCCUGUUCUUGACGCUGAGGCGCGAAAGCUAGGGGAGCAAACGGG
RNAcentral lists this ribosomal RNA (253 nucleotides) under uncultured bacterium. RNAcentral describes it as "partial 16S ribosomal RNA". It matches the Rfam family "Bacterial small subunit ribosomal RNA", at positions 524 to 776 of the family's 1533-position model. The record is from RNAcentral.